RNAcentral lists this ribosomal RNA (216 nucleotides) under uncultured prokaryote. RNAcentral's name for it is "partial 16S ribosomal RNA". It matches the Rfam family "Bacterial small subunit ribosomal RNA", at positions 524 to 739 of the family's 1533-position model. The record is from RNAcentral.
GACGAACCGUGCGAACGUUGUUCGGAAUCACUGGGCUUAAAGGGCGCGUAGGCGGGCUGCCAAGUCCGGGGUGAAAUCUUUCGGCUCAACCGGAAAAUUGCCCCAGAUACUGGCGGCCUCGAGGGAGGUAGGGGCAUGUGGAACUUCCGGUGGAGCGGUGAAAUGCGUAGAUAUCGGAAGGAACGCCGGUGGCGAAAGCGACGUGCUGGACCUCUU